This 201-nucleotide non-coding RNA is filed under the name Fibrobacter sp. The record is from RNAcentral. Lineage: Bacteria; Pseudomonadati; Fibrobacterota; Fibrobacteria; Fibrobacterales; Fibrobacteraceae.
GCCCUGAAAAGCUCUUGCCGUUGCCUAGUUGGGUGCGGCAAGGAGAGAAUCCCGUGAAAGCCGGGAGCGGUCGCGCCGCUGUAAGGGAGGACGAAACCGGCAUAAGCCAAUGCGUGGAAACCGAAAGGGAAUACAUGUGUGAAGGAGCCGGAAGUAGGUUGAUCCCCGAGCCAGAAGAACUGUGGGAAAUGUGAUGUUGAG